RNAcentral lists this ribosomal RNA (253 nucleotides) under uncultured bacterium. RNAcentral's name for it is "partial 16S ribosomal RNA". It matches the Rfam family "Bacterial small subunit ribosomal RNA", at positions 524 to 776 of the family's 1533-position model. The record is from RNAcentral.
UACGAAGGGGGCUAGCGUUGCUCGGAAUCACUGGGCGUAAAGCGCACGUAGGCGGCUUCUUAAGUCAGGGGUGAAAUCCUGGAGCUCAACUCCAGAACUGCCCUUGAUACUGAGAGGCUCGAGUCCGGGAGAGGUGAGUGGAACUGCGAGUGUAGAGGUGAAAUUCGUAGAUAUUCGCAAGAACACCAGUGGCGAAGGCGGCUCACUGGCCCGGUACUGACGCUGAGGUGCGAAAGCUAGGGUAGCAAACGGG